This 717-nucleotide non-coding RNA is filed under the name Pongo abelii (Sumatran orangutan). Lineage: Eukaryota; Metazoa; Chordata; Mammalia; Primates; Hominidae. The record is from RNAcentral.
GCUUUAACACCCAGGCCUCACCCCCUCCCCCACCCCCCGCCCACGAACAGCUUCGUGGACAGUUUACUCAGACCGACUCGAAGGUAAUUUUAAGGUAGUUUUGGGAUAUUACCCAAGUAUGGCCCAGCUGGAAGGUGGACAUCAGGGGGGAGGGCUCAGAAGCACCAAAGUCCAACCUUCUCUACUCACAGAUGGAGAAACUGAGCCCCAGAGAGAGAAGAGUCAGCUGAGACUCCCCCAGAUAAGAUGAUCACCAGAUAUUCUGGGACCUUGCUGGGGACAGACAGCCCUCCCUGCCCGGCAAUGGGCCUUUGGGAUGUGGCACAAGCUCCCGGGAAACCUGGAGUGACAAGGGCGCCUGUCCCUGGGGAGCGGAGAGCGCGGAGUUGGUGCUGAGUCAGCCCUGACGUGGCAGAGGAGGAGCAGGCCCCUGCAGAACCAGGGAAACGUCAUCUCCACCGCUCAACCAGCCCAACCCUGGAGUGCUGUGGAAGCCGCUCUCAGAUCCCUUGGCAGCCCCCAAGGUGCAAGUCGUGGCUGCCCCUGCCCCACUCAGUCCCUGCACAGCCACCAGCUGGCUGCCUGGGACCCCUUGGAGCCAGGCCUGAGGACCUACCCACCGCACCUGCUUCAGCACCCUCAGCUCUGCUCCCUCACAGCCAGCUCAGGCCACCCGGGGAGGCACUCUUGCCCCCAGCCCCGCCAUCUGUAAUAGCU